CCCGGAUCCGGCCUAAACCAGCGCCUGCCGGGUCAAGACCAGUGAGGAGCCCGUGGAGAAAGGAGCGGGAGUGGGGGCGCGAGGGCGAGCGGGGACCGAGAGCCCCGGGGCGAGAAGCCAUUUGUCCGGAUGGGCAGAGGAGACUGGCGAGGUGUAAACGGUGAGGCCGGCGUGAGAGGACAGCAGUCGCCUUUGAGGUGCAGAUUUUCAUGAAAAUCCCCCAAAUUCACAAACCAAAGCAACGCACACCUGUAUCCUAUAUUUCAAGGGUAUCUUUUUCAUAAGAGCUCAAAGAGCUGUCGGGUGGAUUAUCUCAUUUAUCUUCCCAAUAUUCUUCCAAAGGAGUUUGGGCCAGUCAUUAUUAUCCUCAAAGGAGGUGUAACUGUCUCCCAGACAGCCACGGCCUCGCAGGGGGGCCCAUGAAAGGCGAAGGCGUG
RNAcentral lists this long non-coding RNA (437 nucleotides) under Equus caballus (horse). RNAcentral describes it as "lncRNA (ENSECAG00000054637.1)". Lineage: Eukaryota; Metazoa; Chordata; Mammalia; Perissodactyla; Equidae. The record is from RNAcentral.